CACUCCAGCCUGGGCAAUAGAGCGACUCCGUCUAAAAAAAAAAAAAAAAAAUAGUUAAGUCAAAGAGGGCAUCUUGGUCCUUGCUGGCCCUGGGCUGGCAGAGCAGCCCUCUUCUCACCCUUCCUUAAGGGUUACAGUUAGAGUUUCCACAUUCGCCCUCAGGCCCUGUCCAAAUACACUGAAGAGAUGUUUGGAAGAGUCCUCUCCUGCCAUGGAGAAGGGUUAGCAAACAGGAACAGCCCUCCCCUGUGCUGAAGCCAGGCCUGUCUUCCCUGCUGUCCAUGGAGAGGAGGGGACAGGAAUACUCCAGUGCCAGCCACAGGACCUCACGGGUGCCCCAGGGUGUCAGGGUAAAGGCAGAGAAAGAACAGGGGGCAGCCCUGGGGCGGGCAUCUCGUGUGCCCCCCAGUUCCACCAUAGCAGCUGGAGCACAGGCCAUGAAGGAGCAUGAGGGGGCCCUGGGCUCAGACGGUCGCUUCCAUGAUGGUGAGAGGCAGGGACGGGGUCCGUGGUCGUCUCCCGGCCAGGAGGUAACAUUCUGGGAAGGUAGCUAAGAUGGUGAGCUUUGAAUUAAUCAGAGCUGAAUUAAUCUCUUUCCCACCACCUGCUGGCGUUGUGCCCCAGGCAGCGGCUUCAUCUCUCUGAGCCUUAGUUUCCUCAUCUCAAAACAGGAGGCAAAUGCCUACCUUAGUGCUGUGACAAUCAAAUGCAGGGAAGCAUCUCACCCGGCGCCUGGCACGCAGGAAACAACUGUAAGAGUUUUCAUCAGUGGUAUUUCAGGUGGUGUGGCCACAUGGUUGCUAGAGAGACUGCCCCGUGUCAUGGUGGAGACCACCCUCCUGGAAGGGUGAGCUUCAUGAGAAAAAUCUGGCUUCAGAGGCUGGCAAGAGAUAGAAUUCACACAAACCACAGGAAGAAUGAUGGGUCCGGAGCAGGAGAAAGUGGAACAGGAAGGAGCAGGCCCGAAGGCCAGCGCUUAGUGUGUAAAGCUAGAAUGCACUGGGACGGAGGCUCCUGGGAGCGCAGAAGCCGCUUCAACUCAAAAAACCUGAGGGCCCUUGCUCUGGGGAAAGCCAGCUGUGGUGCUGUGGGCAGCCUGAGGAAAGGUGCCCCCAUGGAAAGACACGAGGUCUCCACCCAGCAGUGUGGUGGGCCUGAGGCCACAGGAGCCACCUGCAAGCCGCUGGAGCCCAACUGAGCCUUGAGGUGCCUGCUUCCAUGAGACCCCGCGAGCCAGAGGCAGCCAGUCAAGAGGCACCCAGAUUCCUGCCCCACAGAAACUGAGGUAAUAACGUUGUUUAAAGCCACUGCAUUUGGAGGAAAUAUAUAUCAAGCAGCUGCUAAAUAUGCUGUUCUCUGCUGGCUGCUGCCAGAAUACUGACCAGAGCGGCUCCUGUCUGUGUGGUACCUCCCCUGCCCAGGCCUGGUACUCGCCGCUGAACACACGACUUUAUCUCAGCCCCAUGACAAUGCUGGACGUGCAAGAUGCUGUGAUUCCCGUCACACCCAAGGAAAUGGGCACAGACCGAGGAGUGCCUUGCCCAGGGUCACCGGCAGUAAGAGGAGGAGCUGGGGUGUCACACCCAGGCAGCUAGUUCCAAAGUUCCUGCUCUUAAUGACUGCACUGUGGUGUCUCAGACCUCAGCAGGUGGGAGCCAAGCCACACAACCCCCACCACAGGGGUCAACAGCAACGGGGGGAGAGACCGAAGCGGCACUGUGGCUCAUCAGUGGGGUCACGGGAACCAAAGCAGUGGUGCUGGGAGAGAGAAGGGUUCCUGGGAACUGUGGCUGGAAGAGGACGUGGGACCUGGGGCCGUAGAAACCUCCACCAUGCCGGCUCCCGAGGCCCCCAGAGUGACGGGGAACAUUCUCUGAGACCUCCUGGCCACACUGUGUGUGUGUCCAUGAUCUAAGCUGGCCUCUGACACUGGUAACACCCCCUCUGACCACCACUGGACAGGCCUGUACCCCGCUGCACUGUCCCAGAGCCAUGUUCCCAGGCUCUGCGGCAUAGCCUCAGCCUGCAGCUCCUGCUGGGCCUGCCAUUGAGGACGGGAGCUGAAGGCUGCGCUGCACAAGAUGUGGGCCAGGGACCAGAAGAGCCAGCACAACGGGGGCUGCUUAGAAACUCCCUGGUCAGGCUGGGCACGGUGGCUUAGGCCUGUAGUCCCA
Long non-coding RNA from Sapajus apella (tufted capuchin), 2174 nucleotides. RefSeq lists it as uncharacterized. Lineage: Eukaryota; Metazoa; Chordata; Mammalia; Primates; Cebidae. The record is from RefSeq and is a predicted model, not a curated record. The transcript has 3 exons.